GAGGAACCCGCCGAGUCUGGCGCGGCCUCCGCGGACGCCUUCGACGCCGCGUGGGCCGGGAGGGCAGACGCGCCCACGCGGAAGCGCGCCUGCGCGGCGGAGGCGGCCCGCGGGAGCGGGGCUUCCCUCGCGGGCGGUGGCCUCGGGCGUGUGACGGGCUCCGAGCCUCGCUUCCGUAGCGCCUGCGGCCGCAGUGAGGUACGCGGGAAAGGCGCUGGGACAGCGGCCGGCGCGGCUGCAGACAGAGCAGGAACGGCUCCCCAGGUCUUCGUUCCGGCGGCGCCCCCGCCUGCCCGCCGCGCCCCCCGCGGACCCGCCCGCGCCUCUGCUCGGUGGUCCUCUCCGCCCGUCGGCAGCGUGAAUUCCCCGGGCGGUCAGGCGCAGGGCAGCUUCUUCAGCAGUGUAUUGUCAAACUUGGGUUUUUGCCAGUCUGAUAGGAAUCAAGAUCACCAGCUGAGAAGAAGUUUGGGAGUGAGGACUUGGGAGUUUGAGGAGAGAGGAGAAGAUUAAGACAUCACUAUAUUGACAACACCCUAAAACGGAACAGUUAAAAUAAGCCACUGUACAUCCUUAAAAUGGCCUACGAUGCAGCUGUUUAAAAGAAUGCGGUAAAUUUAUGUGCACUAAUAUGGAACAGCCACCCAGCUGUGUUAUGAUAAAAAAGGAAAGUGUGGAGCAGUGCAAGGAGCAUCCAUGUAUAGGCUUUGGUAACAAUCUGUCCAGUGGGUCACACUCGAGAACAGAAUAUUUUUAAUUUCAACAAGAAAAGAAUAGCAAAGAUGUCACGUAUUAAAUGCUGCCAUCUUCCUAUGAUGCCACUUCAGGAGAACUCUUUAAAGAACACUAACCUUCAGAAAGAUGUUUAUCUACUUGCAAGGAACAUAACCCCCAAGAGAUUUUCUGGACUGUUGCCUAAUUUGUUGGAUUUUUAUCAGAUUUCCUGCAUAUGCUCAGGCACUCACACUUAAUUAGUCAUAAUUCUUCUUUAGAAAAGGUUUGUGUUAGGGGCCGGCCCAUGGGUGAGUGUUUGGGUUCGUGAGCUCUGCUUCAGCGGCCCAGGGUUUCACCAGUUCGGAUCCUGGGUGCGGACACGGCACCACUCAUC
Long non-coding RNA from Equus caballus (horse), 1105 nucleotides. RefSeq lists it as uncharacterized. NCBI's taxonomy places the organism in Eukaryota, Metazoa, Chordata, Mammalia, Perissodactyla, Equidae. The record is from RefSeq and is a predicted model, not a curated record.